Long non-coding RNA from Ailuropoda melanoleuca (giant panda), 308 nucleotides. RefSeq lists it as uncharacterized. NCBI's taxonomy places the organism in Eukaryota, Metazoa, Chordata, Mammalia, Carnivora, Ursidae. The record is from RefSeq and is a predicted model, not a curated record. The transcript has 3 exons.
GGUUGAGGUUUGAGAUGAUGCAUUUCUCAUGAGCUCCCAGAAGAUGUUAAUGCCGCUGUGCAGUGGAAUGACAUGCCAUUCUGAAACUCUUGUUGGUAUUGUGCCUAAGGAAAAAAACAUAGAGGGAUGGGGUGAAGAACUCUGGGUUUGGUCAGCAGCUGAGCCGUCCUGGAGAUGAAACCUUGGGCCAACGCUGGCUUGGUGGCACGAAGCCUGGAGCAGUGCAGAUGCUGCUGAGGUCUUCAGGAGGAAAACGUCAUGAAACUUACUUUAAAUACUACCUGAAAAAAUAAUAAAGUAAAUGUGGC